GAUGAACGCUGGCGGCGUGCCUAAUACAUGCAAGUCGAGCGAACAGACGAGGAGCUUGCUCCUCUGACGUUAGCGGCGGACGGGUGAGUAACACGUGGAUAACCUACCUAUAAGACUGGGAUAACUUCGGGAAACCGGAGCUAAUACCGGAUAAUAUAUUGAACCGCAUGGUUCAAUAGUGAAAGACGGUUUUGCUGUCACUUAUAGAUGGAUCCGCGCCGCAUUAGCUAGUUGGUAAGGUAACGGCUUACCAAGGCAACGAUGCGUAGCCGACCUGAGAGGGUGAUCGGCCACACUGGAACUGAGACACGGUCAAGACUCCUACGGGAGGCAGCAGUAGGGAAUCUUCCGCAAUGGGCGAAAGCCUGACGGAGCAGCGCCGCGUGAAUGAUGAAGGUCUUCGGAUCGUAAAACUCUGUUAUUAGGGAAGAACAAAUGUGUAAGUAACUAUGCACGUCUUGACGGUACCUAAUCAGAAAGCAACGGCUAACUACGUG
RNAcentral lists this ribosomal RNA (497 nucleotides) under uncultured bacterium. RNAcentral describes it as "partial 16S ribosomal RNA". It matches the Rfam family "Bacterial small subunit ribosomal RNA", at positions 28 to 507 of the family's 1533-position model. The record is from RNAcentral.